UACGUAGGAUCCAAGCGUUGUCCGGAUUUACUGGGUGUAAAGGGUGCGUAGGCGGGCAGGUGCGUCAGAGGUGAAAUCUCCCGGCUUAACUGGGAGGGUGCCUUUGAUACGGCUUGUCUUGAGUACGAGAGAGGAUGAUGGAAUUCUUGGUGUAGCGGUGAAAUGCGUAGAUAUCAAGAGGAACACCAGUGGCGAAGGCGAUCAUCUGGCUCGUAACUGACGCUGAGGCACGAAAGCGUGGGGAGCAAACAGG
Molecule: ribosomal RNA, 253 nt
Filed under: uncultured bacterium
Lineage: Bacteria
Description: partial 16S ribosomal RNA
Rfam family: Bacterial small subunit ribosomal RNA
Source: RNAcentral